RNAcentral lists this ribosomal RNA (254 nucleotides) under uncultured bacterium. RNAcentral's name for it is "partial 16S ribosomal RNA". It matches the Rfam family "Bacterial small subunit ribosomal RNA", at positions 524 to 776 of the family's 1533-position model. The record is from RNAcentral.
UACAGAGGUCCCGAGCGUUGUUCGGAUUCACUGGGCGUAAAGGGUGCGCAGGUGGUUUGGCAAGUUUGAUGUGAAAGCCCCGGGCUUAACCCGGGAAUGGCAUUGAAUACUGCUUGAACUGGAGGGUCGGAGGGGGGACUGGAAUUCUUGGUGUAGCAGUGAAAUGCGUAGAUAUCAAGAGGAACACCGAUGGCGAAGGCAGCCCCCUGGGCUAACACUGACGCUCAGGCACGAAAGCGUGGGGAGCAAACAGG